GAUUUGGCUCGGUAUAUUUUUGCAUUCGCAAUGCGAAGGUCGGGAGUUCGAUCCUCCUCCGCUCCACCA
This 69-nucleotide transfer RNA is filed under the name Burkholderia pseudomallei K96243. RNAcentral describes it as "tRNA-Ala (CGC) (tRNA-Ala-CGC-2-1)". Lineage: Bacteria; Pseudomonadati; Pseudomonadota; Betaproteobacteria; Burkholderiales; Burkholderiaceae. The record is from RNAcentral.